Molecule: small nucleolar RNA, 87 nt
Filed under: Carlito syrichta (Philippine tarsier)
Lineage: Eukaryota; Metazoa; Chordata; Mammalia; Primates; Tarsiidae
Description: Small nucleolar RNA SNORD14 (ENSTSYG00000030495.1)
Source: RNAcentral
UCACUGUGAUGAAUGGUCCAACACAUUCGCGGUUUCCACCAGAAAUCAAGACAUGUUGGCAACUACCUUCCUUGGAUGUCUGAGUGA